RNAcentral lists this transfer RNA (73 nucleotides) under Candidatus Latescibacterota bacterium. RNAcentral describes it as "tRNA-Thr". It matches the Rfam family "tRNA". From Rfam's summary of the family: Transfer RNA (tRNA) molecules are approximately 80 nucleotides in length. Their secondary structure includes four short double-helical elements and three loops (D, anti-codon, and T loops). The record is from RNAcentral. Lineage: Bacteria; Pseudomonadati; Candidatus Latescibacterota.
GCCGGUGUAGCUCAACUGGAAGAGCAUUCGUUUCGUAAGCGAAAGGUCAAGGGUUCGAAUCCCUUCAUCGGCU